Molecule: long non-coding RNA, 1518 nt
Organism: Daphnia carinata
Lineage: Eukaryota; Metazoa; Arthropoda; Branchiopoda; Diplostraca; Daphniidae
Exons: 3
Source: RefSeq, a predicted model, not a curated record
UACGCAUAGGAAACAUACAGCUGUUUCGUAAUACUUGUCAGUCGAAGGGCGGUAUUUCCAGAGAAGGAAAACAACUACUGUUGAGGAGCUUGAAAGAGAGAGGUGUUCCGUACCAAGAUGUCGGAUGGUACCAGGCACGAAGAAUAAAGUAUCCCUUAAGGCCAAAAUUUAAUAGUUCUGCGAAUGCACGUGUAAUUUCUGCAGCACUUCAAGGCGCUGAAGCUGAGAAAACGCUUUAUUUCGAUUCCCGGGAAACAGUUGAUUUGAAGAAUUGCCAAAACGAUGUCAAAGCAUAUGAGCCAAAUUAAAAAGCCAUUUUCCACUCAUCCUAUUUUUCUCAUGUAAGUUAUUUUUCCGUUUCAGCUAACAAUGAUCCAUUUUGUAACAUGAAGAAAACACGAUAGCUGCGUUGUGUGAUUCGCUACAUCCGGUGCUUUAAUUGUAUUGACGGAGAAAAUGAAUCAUCCGGUGGUGCAGAUAUUGCUGGAACGCGGACAUGGUUAUGCAUAUAUCAACCUGCAUUACAAAUACUAACUUCGUAUUUGUUUUAUUUUCCCCCGCGAACGUCAACGGAUGCCUGCUGAUCUCAUCAAGAAGGAAAACAACAACCGGUGUUCAUUCUUUUUGUAGUGGAAACCGGAGAUUCAUCUCUAGACAAAAUCUCAUUCGCCGUGAAAAAUAUCUGUAAAAACAAGUCGUGCGGGAGCAACUAUCAAGUUAAGGUCUUUCCCUUCCCCCUGAAAUGUAAAAUGGGACAACGGGCAAAGCCAGACUCCCUUGCCUUCGCAUCAUACACGAGUUUCGGAAAGUUCUAGAACUCUGGACUCGACAGGCGCGGUAAAUUGCCCGGAGGGGAACCAAGCGCAUACCAACGUGAAUGAGUCUGCAAGCAACGGCAGAGUGAACGCGGUUAAAACCCCAUUGAAGGCCCCCCCCUACCUCGUCCCCCCUCCACCACAGUGCACUCCCUAAAAAGGGGGGAAAAACAAGUUUUUGGUUAAUGCAACUUCGCAAUAUUAAAUAGCUCUAGGGCUUCUCAUUGUUGAGUCAUCUAUCUACCUUGUGAAUUGCAUUGAGCCAAUGUUUUUAUUUCCCGCUGCUACGCUCUGAAUUGUUUUAGGACAAACCGCAAAUGUUCGAUUAAAUUAAGCCACUCAUCGUUGCAACAUUUUUGCCGCUCUUUCGGUACUAUUAUAUCAUAGUAACUCAGCAAUUCUUAAAUAUUCCUAUGAGAGGCGAAUUCGAACCCCAUAUUUUGCCGCAACUGAGAAGAUAACAACCAAUGUAUUAGGUUUAGUUUCUCAAGUCUGUCAAUUUCUCAGGUGAAAAAACAAACAAAACAAGAUAAUGGAUAGAGCCAAAUAUGCCGUACCAGUGAAGUUAGAUCACGGGUUCGCAUGAACGUAAAUGAGCGCAACACGACCCCGAGGCAAAAAUGAAAACCUACGACGUAGAUUUGUUGCAGGUUACGCGAUGUAUCAUGUGCCAAACGUAACAACAAGUGUUGGUUUCAUCGAG